GAAACCCUCCUCUUCCUUAGGUGUCUCCGCCCAAAGAAAGACUGCAGCCAAUGAGAACCCGCCUACCGCCCAGUCUGCAACUUGGCUGCUGCCAGGUGGGCAGGUCCGGAGGACAAGUUGCACCUCGACUGGUGGCUUAGGGUAAGGAGUCCGGGGGAUCCGCCAGCUCCCGGGCCCUGAAGGAAGCGAUCAAAAUGGAUGCGGAGUGCUGAAUACAAGGUGUAACAUACAGUUAAGCACUAUACAACCCACCAAGUUGUGCUUGUAUUUCCUCCUCUCCACAAGCUGCUGAGCAGGAUGUUAUUGACAUCUGUGUUCUGUAGAUGAAGAAAGUGUUACACAAAUUUCUGUAAGGAACAAAAGCGGGGUGCUAAGAUACAGAUGGGGGUGAAUACAUUUGGUCAU
This is a long non-coding RNA of Dipodomys ordii (Ord's kangaroo rat), 405 nucleotides long. RefSeq lists it as uncharacterized. The record is from RefSeq and is a predicted model, not a curated record. The transcript has 3 exons. NCBI's taxonomy places the organism in Eukaryota, Metazoa, Chordata, Mammalia, Rodentia, Heteromyidae.